UACAGAGGGGGCAAGCGUUAUUCGGAAUUAUUGGGCGUAAAGGGCGCGUAGGCGGCCUUGCAAGUGACGGGUGAAAUCCCUCGGCUUAACCGAGGAACUGCCUGUCAAACUGCGAGGCUUGAGACCGGGAGAGGUGAGUGGAAUUCCCAGUGUAGCGGUGAAAUGCGUAGAUAUUGGGAAGAACACCGAUGGCGAAGGCAGCCAUCUGGACCGACACUGACGCUGAGGCGCGAAAGCGUGGGGAGCAAACAGG
RNAcentral lists this ribosomal RNA (253 nucleotides) under uncultured bacterium. Its description in RNAcentral is "partial 16S ribosomal RNA". It matches the Rfam family "Bacterial small subunit ribosomal RNA", at positions 524 to 776 of the family's 1533-position model. The record is from RNAcentral.